GGGAUCUUGCUGGAGAUCCCUGCGUACCUGAGGCCUUCUGAAGCGUUACCAACAGGAAGCCUCUAUGGUUUUGUAACGCUUAUUCUACUGAGAACAAUCUCUCUGGAUAAUACCAAGAUGGGUCUUUAAAAUAAAACAAGUAUUUCAUGACCACAAAACCAGGCAGAUGCCAGUGAUGCUGAAACAGGGACAGAAAAAGAUUCAGGCCCAAGAACUGAACUGUGUUAGUGACUUGGCACAUCCUCAUGUUUCUGUCCUGCUGUGCUGAGGGCAGACAGUCUGCUGGUGGUCCAAAUAGCCAUGAGAAUUUUUUUUUUUAUCAGUAAAUGCUCUUCUGAAGGCUGUUAGAAAGGAACCUGCAUGCCUGCUUCAUGGAUUCAUCUGCAAAGCCAAUCAAGAACCCAUUGACACCAGAGCUAGCAAGCCCUGCAUCACACCUAAUUACAUAGUGCUGAAAGAACAACUAACCACUUGGCAAGCAGGGCUUCUGGGUCUCAGAUUCUGAAACAGUUUAUAACUCAGGCAGGGCUUUGGUCUGCACUCAUCCAUCCUUGGCUUUUUUGAAAUGCAACCAGGUGAGAAUGAAUUUGGCAAGUCACUAAACAGCCUCACUUGCACUACUUCCAGUAACUUGCUCACAUAUCCCUACCGGAGUGAGUAUAAAAUGCUGCUGCUUGGUUUCUAUCAGUGGGAUUUCUGCGUAGUAUCUUAUGGGUGUGAGCUAGUCAGCUGUCAGCAGUAUUUAGAAGGCAGUUCACUGGUAACAUGAAGUUGUGACAACUAACAGAAAUGGGCUAGAAUAAACCACGCUAACGAUUAUCUAGCUGUAUUUAUAAAACAAGACCUAACAAGUAUGGUUUGAGUUGAGCAAGGAUGGGCUUGCUUUAGGAACCUGACAUACGCUGCAGUAAGUGGGUCACGGAACAGGUCACUUUUUCUGAACGCCAGUGAAAACACGACUUCAAGCCUCCUGUCCCAGAAUCUGUAAUUAGCACUGGCAAUAAGAUCCUCCUGAAGACAGCCCUGCUGCAGUGUCACUAGGAGACAGUCCAGCCCUCUCUUACUCUUAAUUACGGGUGCUGUCAGUUCAGCUAGAUUAAAAAAGAUGACUGAAGCCGCUUGUGACAAUGGACUUCUGCAUCCAGUAGCUCACAGAGCCACCGUGCACUGAUUUGUUCACUUGGCUGUGUCCUUAUUUCAAGGAAAAAAAAGUACAAUUUUUUUUUUUUUGCAAAACAUCGCGCUUGCAAGCAAUAGCAAGUUUGUGAAAUAUUGCUAGAACAACUUGUACCGCGCCAUCUGCUGCAUGCGGGGAACUGAGAAACCACAGAUCUGCCUGGGCUCUGAGGUUUGAUUUUUUUAAGCUCGUUCUGCUCACUGUGUUUGGGAGUCACUUCAUUUCAGCCUUCCCUUCAGACUGUGUUCCUGGGUAUGUGAAAAGUACCUGAGAAAUAGACCUAAUACAUGUCAGGAAUUCAAA
Numida meleagris (helmeted guineafowl) is the source of this 1480-nucleotide long non-coding RNA. RefSeq lists it as uncharacterized. NCBI's taxonomy places the organism in Eukaryota, Metazoa, Chordata, Aves, Galliformes, Numididae. The record is from RefSeq and is a predicted model, not a curated record. The transcript is spliced from 2 exons.